This 68-nucleotide transfer RNA is filed under the name Marmota monax (woodchuck). RNAcentral's name for it is "tRNA.Ala". The record is from RNAcentral. Lineage: Eukaryota; Metazoa; Chordata; Mammalia; Rodentia; Sciuridae.
GGGGUUGUAGCUCAGUGGAGAGUGCUUGCCUAGCAUGUAUGAGGCACUGGGUUCGAUCCUCUACACCA